This 253-nucleotide ribosomal RNA is filed under the name uncultured bacterium. Its description in RNAcentral is "partial 16S ribosomal RNA". It matches the Rfam family "Bacterial small subunit ribosomal RNA", at positions 524 to 776 of the family's 1533-position model. The record is from RNAcentral.
UACGUAGGGUGCAAGCGUUGUCCGGAAUUAUUGGGCGUAAAGAGCUCGUAGGCGGUCUGUCGCGUCGGCUGUGAAAACCCGGGGCUCAACCCCGGGCCUGCAGUCGAUACGGGCAGACUAGAGUGCGGUAGGGGAGACUGGAAUUCCUGGUGUAGCGGUGAAAUGCGCAGAUAUCAGGAGGAACACCGGUGGCGAAGGCGGGUCUCUGGGCCGUAACUGACGCUGAGGAGCGAAAGCGUGGGGAGCGAACCGG